ACUCACCCACUUCCGGCAGGGGGCUGAGUCGGGAGGAAGUGCCAGUGUCCGCAAACACAGGCACCGUGGCUCCCAGGAGUGGCCUUGGCACUGCCUCUGAAUGGGCUCUGUUCUAUUCACAGUUGACCCCCUGAGGUUCAUGGGGCGCCACUGUCUCGGGGCCCUUCCUGGGGCAGGUCAGCUCCCAGCCCUCCCCAGCUUCUCUGAUCUGCUUGUUCCUGUCAUGCCCUGGAGGCCAACUUCUGAUCUGUUCUUGCAUUUCCUUUGGUCCCUCUCUUUGCCGCAAAGAUGCCCUCCUUGCUCCAGCCCUGCUCUGGGCUCCGGACGCUGAGGCCACACAGUGGAGAGAAAUGCCUCCCCUCUCCCUCGGGCCCCUUCCUCUCCACCUGGGCGGGGCCUCCCAGGAAGCCUGGAAUGUGUUCUUCUCCAGCCCCCUGCCCUCACCAGGUGUCCUGGCCCCUUCCACCUGCUACCAGCCCUAGACUUGGCCCAGCCUCCUCUGAGCCCUGUUCACUCGGGGCGUGUCUGGUGCCGGUGCCUCAAGGGUGGAGACGCAGAAGCCGGCGACCUAGGGUGUCUCGGACGCAAGCUUGCUGCGACACCCUGGACUGCAGUUAAGGAGAGCCGACGGACGAGGUCUCUUCCGGCUCUAGCAUUCCAUACGUCUGUGACCUGAAGAGCCCUUUGCCCUGGCUCGCUCAGCAAAUUCAUGAUGUCACAGAGAGCAGAACCCACAGCCUUCUCUGCUCACGGAGGAGAUUCUAGACGUGCUGUGGACUGCCUGAACCAGGGACAGUCUAUUCCCGUCCUCCUGUGAAUGACCGCUGAGGAAGACCAUGAAUGAGGCAAAGGAGUCCCUGCGAAGCAUCGAGCAGAAGUACAAGCUCUUCCAGCAGCAACAGUUUACGUUCAUCGCCGCUCUGGAGCACUGCAGGGAGAACGCCCACGACAAGAUCCGGCCCAUCACCAGCAUCGGACAGACAUUUCCACUUAGCCUGGGCCUCCCUCGAGUCAGCUGCUAUCCCAGUUUGCUCUGCAGGACCCGGAGGCCUCGACACCGAGCGCGCCCUCCAGGGAGCAGCACCCUCCUUGGUACAGAGCUACACGGACCAUCACUGCAACAACUCCACGGACCGGCGCAUUCUGCUCAUGUUUCUGGACAUCUGCACGGAGCUGAACAAGCUGUGCCAGAGCUUCGAGGCCCUGCACUCUGGCACCCCGGUCACCAACAACCUGCUCGAGAAAUGCAAAUCCCUGGUCAGCCAGAGCAACGACUUGAGCAGCCUCAGGGCAAAGUACCCUCACGACGUGGUGAACCACCUCAGCUGCGACGAGGCCAGGAACCACUACGGAGGCGUCGUCAGCCUCGUCCCCAUCAUCCUAGACUUAAUGAAGGAAUGGAUCGCCCACUCGGAGAAGCUGCCCCGCAAAAGUCUGCAGCAUGCUCUGUGCCCACUUCGUGUCGCUGGGAGAGGCUGGUGAGCCAGGGCACUGGCCGGCCCUGGCCUUCUGGGAGCUCCAGGCCCGCACCCUGCCAGACCCGCCCACACCACAGGCCCGCCUCUCCAGGCUGAGCCACCAAGGGGGAGGCCACAGGGCUCCCUUGCGGCCACCGCGGCCACCCACCAUAGAGCUGCUCCUCCUGCCGGAAGCUGGGGGCCAGGCGGCGAACUUCCAGCAGGGGGCGACUUAGAUUCUGUACUCUUGCUUCCUCGGGGCGACCGUCAAGAAUAAAAAAUGUUCUCCCACCUGUC
Molecule: RNA transcript, 1754 nt
Organism: Hyaena hyaena (striped hyena)
Lineage: Eukaryota; Metazoa; Chordata; Mammalia; Carnivora; Hyaenidae
Gene: SPACA9
Gene name: sperm acrosome associated 9
Exons: 7
Source: RefSeq, a predicted model, not a curated record